UUCCCGACCUGGGAGAAGAGCAUCUGCAGCGACGCCUUCCUCAAGAAAGAGCGGCAGUGGGAAAGAACAGAAAGGGAAGAAGAUGAUAUACCGGAAAUGGAGUCUGCUAACGGGCCCAGUGGCGAUCUUGGGCGGAAUAGUUGGCGCCGUAGUAGUAGCCAAUUUCAUCUUUGUGCAAAACGAUCCAUUUCUUAAGCCGGAGGAGAAGAGGCCAAACACAUCAUCAUCAUCAUCAUCAUCAUCAUCAUCAUCAUCGAGCAAGUAAGAGUGGCUGCUACAUGUCAAAGUUGAAUGACCCUGUCUGUGGUCUGUGUUUGUCAAGUUUGUUGGCUUAAAAACAUGAAUUUUAAGCUGAAUAAUGUUAAAGUUUGAACCAAAGUUUGUGUAAUUGACUUGUUCAUCUUUAAUGACCAUUUGAUAAGUUCUUUGUCGUUAAAA
Carica papaya (papaya) is the source of this 438-nucleotide non-coding RNA. NCBI's taxonomy places the organism in Eukaryota, Viridiplantae, Streptophyta, Magnoliopsida, Brassicales, Caricaceae. The record is from RefSeq and is a predicted model, not a curated record.